UACGAAGGGGGCUAGCGUUGUUCGGAAUUACUGGGCGUAAAGCGCGCGUAGGCGGACGCUUAAGUCAGGGGUGAAAGGCCGGGGCUCAACCCCGGAACGGCCUCUGAUACUGGGUGUCUGGAGUCCGGAAGAGGUUGGUGGAAUUCCGAGUGUAGAGGUGAAAUUCGUAGAUAUUCGCAAGAACACCAGUGGCGAAGGCGGCCAACUGGUCCGGUACUGACGCUGAGGUGCGAAAGCGUGGGGAGCAAACAGG
RNAcentral lists this ribosomal RNA (253 nucleotides) under uncultured bacterium. RNAcentral's name for it is "partial 16S ribosomal RNA". It matches the Rfam family "Bacterial small subunit ribosomal RNA", at positions 524 to 776 of the family's 1533-position model. The record is from RNAcentral.